This 209-nucleotide long non-coding RNA is filed under the name Mytilus galloprovincialis (Mediterranean mussel). The record is from RNAcentral. Lineage: Eukaryota; Metazoa; Mollusca; Bivalvia; Mytilida; Mytilidae.
CCCCUUUGAAUGUGUGCUGUGCAAUUGAUAAAUUUCUUACAAGAGGUGUCAUUCUUAAAGUCAUUGCAUGUGGAAUUAGGAUUAGAAUUAGAAUUCAAAGGCAGUACAUUUCUGACGAUUCACAGAUUUCUUUUACAUUAGAAAAUUAUGUACACAUGUCCUACAGAUAAACUUAUCAAAUUUGGUAUCUAAAUCAAAUUCAUUUUUUU